RNAcentral lists this transfer RNA (65 nucleotides) under Megaceryle lugubris (crested kingfisher). RNAcentral's name for it is "tRNA-Ser". Lineage: Eukaryota; Metazoa; Chordata; Aves; Coraciiformes; Cerylidae. The record is from RNAcentral.
GAGGGGAGGUUAACCAACAAGAACUGCUAAUCCUUGCACCCGAGCCUAAAACCUCGGUCCCCUUA